GGUGGAUUCCCUGGAAUUGGAAAGAGUGAGAAAGUUUUGGAGCUGAACUUAUUCAAGUAUGGUAGUCUUGUAUAUCAUAGGAAGAUAGGUAAGUUGUUGGUCUCUAACACUGAAAUAGCUAAGGGGAGCAAUGGCACUAUCGUACUCGAGGGAAUCUAUGAUGGGCGCCCCGUAGCUGUUAAACGACUUGUCCAGACCCAUCACGAAGUGGCUGUGAAAGAAAUUCAGAAUCUUAUUGCCUCUGAUCAACACCCAAAUAUUGUUCGUUGGUACGGGGUGGAGUACGAUCAAGAUUUUGUUUAUCUCGCUCUGGAGCGUUGCACCUGUAGCUUAUAUGAGUUUACAUCAUCAUUUUCCAGCUCCUACCAAAAGCAAUGUAUCUCGCUCUUGAGCGUUGCACCUGUAGCUUAUAUGAGUUUACAUCAUCAUUCUCCAGCUCCUACAAAAAGCAAUUUUCUGGAGAUGACCAGGAUGCCGUGUUGUUUAACUGAUUGCACCAUAAAAUUUCAGUGGAAAUCUGGAGAUAAGGAGGACUUCCCG
This 540-nucleotide long non-coding RNA is filed under the name Nicotiana benthamiana. RNAcentral describes it as "long non-coding RNA (NBEN_LNC030853)". The record is from RNAcentral. Lineage: Eukaryota; Viridiplantae; Streptophyta; Magnoliopsida; Solanales; Solanaceae.